AGCUGGACCAAAAAGCAGCCAAUAUCAAGUGAUCUGCUAGACCUCCAGUGACUAGCACUCUAGUGCAAAACCUUAACAGUGACCUCACCAAUGUUAAGGUAGAGUAACUUCCAAGAGUAUGGAACAUCUGAAAGUCGCAUGUACCCAUCUGUUGAUGCAAGAGAAUCUGAGACUACCAUUGACGUUUUGUGCCCGAGGGCAAGUUUGAUGAAACAGAGACUCAGUGCAUGCGAGAGGGGAAAUAUUGACUCUUAAAGCUGCCCAAGGGUGAUGCUAAGCUUUCCCAGUUUACUGGGUACACCUAAGCAAGACUCAAGUUUCGCUAUAUAAACUGGGGUCCAAAAGGAAGUCCUUUGAACCCAACUCCAGGACACAGCCCCAGGAUCAGAGCUGCCAGACCUCAACACCCUGCCAACCACACUGAGCAGAAGUUGGAGUCACCCAGAUGACCUGAUCCUGA
Mauremys mutica (yellowpond turtle) is the source of this 460-nucleotide long non-coding RNA. RefSeq lists it as uncharacterized. The record is from RefSeq and is a predicted model, not a curated record. The transcript has 3 exons. Lineage: Eukaryota; Metazoa; Chordata; Testudines; Geoemydidae.